This 1146-nucleotide ribosomal RNA is filed under the name Triticum aestivum (bread wheat). RNAcentral describes it as "partial small subunit ribosomal RNA". Lineage: Eukaryota; Viridiplantae; Streptophyta; Magnoliopsida; Poales; Poaceae. The record is from RNAcentral.
AUGGGGAAGAAGCCGGGCAGCGCUGGCCCUUGCUCGGCAUCCAGGCCCAUGAACCAGGCCGUGUCGCUCCGCGAGGAGACCUCCGGAAAGACGCAGGCCGACAAGCCCUCCCUGCUGAGGGUCCAGCACCUGCAGCGGCUGGGGGCGUGGGCAAGCGGUGAGGCGGGAGUUGGCUCGAUCGGAGCGCUGCUGGGCCGCCGCUUCGCCACGGACGCCGAGGCGGCCGGGAUCCCCAUUGAUGCUUCCACCUUCCUUUGCCAGAGGUGUGAGUCAAUCUUACAGCCAGGCUUCAACUGCACAAUCCGCAUAAAGAACAACAAAAAGAAAGCAAAGCGGCGCAAGAAGUCAAAUCCUGGCCAAAACAGUGUUGUCUAUGCAUGCCAUUUCUGUGGAGACCAAAACCUGAUACGAGGUAGUGGAAAGGGUAUCGUGAAGGGACUGUUAUCAUCAAGAAAGCCUGUUAGCACAAUGUUGAAAGCAGAAAAUGUGAACAUGCCAACAGUAAUAACUACUAAAAAGGGGAUCGAGCAUUCUGUGACAGCAGCCUCGCAACUGGAAUCAUCCAGGCUGAAAAUAUCCAUUCUUGAAAAGGAUAAACAAGGUAAUGGGCCUAAAUCUAAUCUUCCUGAAGAUUAUAAAGUGGAGAAAGGGGCAGUUUUCUCAAUGGUGGAUCGUGGUCAGUUAGCGGCUGCACACAAAGACAUCCUGCAGAAAAUCGGAGUAGAAAGCACACAUGAUAAAUGUGUGAAUGGAAUUGAGCCUGCGGCAUCUAAAAAUACUAGUGCAUGUGAACAUGAUGUCACUUCUCAGGCAGAAUUUCUAGCUGGGUCAAACUUUGUUACUCCUCAGAAGAACAAACUGGCGGAAGUGACUGCGCCUAUAGCUUCAGCAGAAGCAUUGAAGACAAGAAGUACACUGAACAACAAAGCGCAGAAUUGUGGUUCAGCUGCUGGCAAGGCCCCUGGAAGUUAUAGCAAGUCAGCUUCGAAUACCAAAUCUGCGCCAGGUGGUUCUACUCAGCCGGCUGGCAGUUCAAGGAAGCGGGCAAGAAAAGGGUGGACUACGCUGAAGCAGAUUGCUGAGAAGGACGAGCUUGAGAGAAAAGAGAAGAUGGAUAACUUUGUAAUCCCGUUCUUCAUGCAGUAG